UCGUCGGGCCGCCGGAAGCGUCGAGCGCGCAGCGGCGGACGACAGCCAAUCGGGAGGCGCCAGUUCCGGUCGCUAGGCAUGCUGGUCUUUCGCACGCGGGCCUUUUCUCGUCUUCUGCAACCACGUUGGUGUCUGCGCUAGCGUUGGUGUAUUUUUCAGUUAUAAAAGCGGUAUAUGCCACCUUUAAAAGCGCUUAUACUUCUUUCAUCGUUUACCACAAGGCCGUGUCUGCUGUGCCCGGGGCACAGCAGACGAAAGGUGCCCGAAAUGUCUACGUUCACCCAUGACGUCACAUCCGCUAUAACCCAUGAUGUCACAUCCGCUCAUUUCCAUGGCGGCCGUCUUACGGAGCCGGCUGCGCUGCGAAACGGUCCGUAUUCCGUGCCCACUUAGAGCACUGAACAUCCCACGUCUUGGUUUGACUUCCUGGUACAGGAUACUUGCACUUAGCAUGGAGUGAUGAAGCAGAGCAGUGUACUUUUAUUAAAUGUGCAGAUUUUAGCAGUAUAACAGCCGUUCAUUAAAAAAACGUGUGCUGAAAAUAAAGUAUACUUACCCACA
This is a long non-coding RNA of Dermacentor andersoni, 561 nucleotides long. RefSeq lists it as uncharacterized. NCBI's taxonomy places the organism in Eukaryota, Metazoa, Arthropoda, Arachnida, Ixodida, Ixodidae. The record is from RefSeq and is a predicted model, not a curated record.